RNAcentral lists this ribosomal RNA (397 nucleotides) under uncultured bacterium. Its description in RNAcentral is "bacterial SSU rRNA". It matches the Rfam family "Bacterial small subunit ribosomal RNA", at positions 490 to 890 of the family's 1533-position model. The record is from RNAcentral.
GCCCCGGCUAACUACGUGCCAGCAGCCGCGGUAAUACGUAGGGGGCGAGCGUUGUCCGGAAUUAUUGGGCGUAAAGGGUACGUAGGCGGCUUUUUAAGUUUGACGUGAAAGCCCGGGGCUUAACUCCGGCAAGCGUUGAAAACUGGAGGGCUUGAGUGAUGGAAGGGACAGUGGAAUUCCUGGUGGAGCGGUGGAAUGCGCAGAUAUCAGGAGGAACACCAGUGGCGAAGGCGGUUCUCUGGACCUUUCCUGACGCUGAGGAGCGAAAGCGUGGGGAGCAAACAGGCUUAGAUACCCUGGUAGUCCACGCUGUAAACGAUGAGUGCAAGGUGUUGGGGGUCAAACCUCGGUGCCGCCGUUAACACAGUAAGCACUCCGCCUGGGGAGUACGUACGCA